UUGUUUGCCGAGUGUUUUGUGCCACUCGGCACACCCUUUGCCGAGUGCCCGACCAAAGACACUCGGCAAAGUUAACUUUGCCGAGUAAAACUUUGCCGUGUGCUCGUCGCCGAGUGUUACACUCGGCAAACACGUUGCCGAGUGUUUUUAGGGUUUCGCCGAGUGCCUGGGGCACUCGGCAAUUUGUAGCUUUCCCGUAGUG
This 202-nucleotide long non-coding RNA is filed under the name Setaria italica (foxtail millet). RNAcentral's name for it is "long non-coding RNA (SITA_LNC006080)". Lineage: Eukaryota; Viridiplantae; Streptophyta; Magnoliopsida; Poales; Poaceae. The record is from RNAcentral.